This 658-nucleotide long non-coding RNA is filed under the name Fukomys damarensis (Damara mole-rat). RNAcentral's name for it is "lncRNA (ENSFDAG00000026990.1)". The record is from RNAcentral. Lineage: Eukaryota; Metazoa; Chordata; Mammalia; Rodentia; Bathyergidae.
GGGGAUUUUCUAAAAAACAGGCACUCAGCCUUCAAUUCCCACUGCAAGCCCUGGGUGAGCCACGGGGCAAUGGCUGCACUGACCUUCAGCAAGCAGCCAGGAAGGACCUCAACAGCUAAGAGGCCCCUGCAGGCCCGCGUGGGUCGGCCCUCGGACCGGACAGCCUGUGCUCCAGCAUGAUCCUGAGAGGCGAGGCCCGGCCUCCGAACCGCGGAGAGUCUUGCGCUUGGAGGAAGAUCUACUGGACCUCUGGUGUCCUGAGGCCCCUGAGGGUUGAGGGGGCAUUUUUAGCCAUGCGAGCUUUGAGUUUCAUUUUUGUUUUUAAAAGUACAGGACGCAGUAACAACUCAAGUCCCAAGAGCACGGCAGAGUCAACGUGCUGGGGUGGCCAGGCAGGAUCUCCCAGACACCUGCAUCCGACUCAGACUGUACGUAUUUACUGGAGACGCACGACACCCUAGACACCACCGAGGGGAGCGGUGGGCAGGCCUCAGAGCGGCAUCCUCGGGGACAGGGGAACCAAGGAUGGGCCCGGGAAAUUUCCAGUCCGCUCAAGUGUGACGAAGGGGAUAGGAGCAAUGGUGAGUUUCAGGGAACUGGGGAUCUGGCCUCCAAGGUGGGGCUCAGGGCUGGGGCUGGCGGGCGCCACACGGCCACG